This 446-nucleotide ribosomal RNA is filed under the name uncultured bacterium. RNAcentral describes it as "partial 16S ribosomal RNA". It matches the Rfam family "Bacterial small subunit ribosomal RNA", at positions 329 to 792 of the family's 1533-position model. The record is from RNAcentral.
UUCCAGACUCCUACGGGAGGCAGCAGUGGGGGAUAUUGCACAAUGGGGGGAACCCUGAUGCAGCGACGCCGCGUGGGUGAAGGAGCGUUUCGGCGCGUAAAGCCCUAUCGGCAGGGAAGAAGGAGGACGGUACCUGACUAAGAAGCCCCGGCUAACUACGUGCCAGCAGCCGCGGUAAUACGUAGGGAGCGAGCGUUGUCCGGAAUUACUGGGUGUAAAGGGAGCGUAGGCGGGGAUGCAAGUUGGAUGUUUAAACUAUCGGCUCAACCGGUAAUUGCAACCAAAACUGCAACUCUUGAGUGAAGUAGAGGCAGGCGGAAUUCCUAGUGUAGCGGUGAAAUGCGUAGAUAUUAGGAGGAACACCAGUGGCGAAGGCGGCCUGCUGGGCUUUAACUGACGCUGAGGCUCGAAAGCGUGGGGAGCAAACAGGAUUAGAUACCCUGGUA